This 253-nucleotide unclassified non-coding RNA is filed under the name uncultured Myxococcales bacterium. RNAcentral describes it as "contains 16S-23S intergenic spacer region". It matches the Rfam family "Bacterial small subunit ribosomal RNA", at positions 524 to 776 of the family's 1533-position model. Lineage: Bacteria; Pseudomonadati; Myxococcota; Myxococcia; Myxococcales. The record is from RNAcentral.
GACAGAGGGUGCAAGCGUUGUUCGGAAUCAUUGGGCGUAAAGCGCACGUAGGCGGUUCUGCAAGUCGGAUGUGAAAGCCCAGGGCUCAACCUUGGAAGUGCAUCCGAAACUGCCGAACUAGAGUCCCGGAGAGGGUGGUGGAAUUCAUGGUGUAGAGGUGAAAUUCGUAGAUAUCAUGAGGAACACCGGUGGCGAAGGCGGCCACCUGGACGGAGACUGACGCUGAGGUGCGAAAGCGUGGGUAGCAAACAGG